Molecule: ribosomal RNA, 466 nt
Filed under: uncultured bacterium
Lineage: Bacteria
Description: bacterial SSU rRNA
Rfam family: Bacterial small subunit ribosomal RNA
Source: RNAcentral
CGCCAGACUCCUACGGGAGGCAGCAGUGAGGAAUAUUGGUCAAUGGGCUUACGCCUGAACCAGCCAAGUCGCGUGAGGGAAGACUGCCCUAUGGGUUGUAAACCUCUUUUGUCAGGGAGCAACGCCGGCUACGUGUAGCCGGACUGAGAGUACCUGAAGAAAAAGCAUCGGCUAACUCCGUGCCAGCAGCCGCGGUAAUACGGAGGAUGCGAGCGUUAUCCGGAUUUAUUGGGUUUAAAGGGUGCGUAGGCGGAACAUUAAGUCAGCGGUAAAAUCGAGGGGCUCAACCCCUUUAAGCCGUUGAAACUGGUGAUCUUGAGUGGGCGAGAAGUAUGCGGAAUGCGUGGUGUAGCGGUGAAAUGCAUAGAUAUCACGCAGAACUCCGAUUGCGAAGGCAGCAUACCGGCGCCCGACUGACGCUGAGGCACGAAAGCGUGGGGAUCGAACAGGAUUAGAUACCCGCGUA